CGGGACCACAUGGUUCUGCAGUCAAAACUCCGGUGGUACAAGAUGGGCUCGCGUCCAAUUAGCUAGUUGGUGAGGUAACGGCCCACCAAGGCGACGAUUGGUAGCCGAACUGAGAGGUUGAUCGGCCACAUUGGGACUGAGACACGGCCCAGACUCCUACGGGAGGCAGCAGUGGGGAAUAUUGGGCAAUGGGGGAAACCCUGACCCAGCAACGCCGCGUGAAGGAUGAAGGCUUUCGGGUUGUAAACUUCUUUGAUCGGGGACGAAAUUGACGGUACCCGAAGAACAAGCCACGGCUAACUACGUGCCAGCAGCCGCGGUAAUACGUAGGUGGCAAGCGUUAUCCGGAAUUACUGGGCGUAAAGGGCGUGUAGGCGGGAAGACAAGUCAGGAGUGAAAUCCCAGGGCUUAACCCUGGAGCUGCUUCUGAAACUGUUUUUCUUGAGUAUCGGAGAGGAAAGUGGAAUUCCCAGUGUAGCGGUGAAAUGCGUAGAGAUUGG
Molecule: ribosomal RNA, 500 nt
Filed under: uncultured bacterium
Lineage: Bacteria
Description: bacterial SSU rRNA
Rfam family: Bacterial small subunit ribosomal RNA
Source: RNAcentral